This 218-nucleotide ribosomal RNA is filed under the name Glomus sp. Its description in RNAcentral is "partial small subunit ribosomal RNA". It matches the Rfam family "Eukaryotic small subunit ribosomal RNA", at positions 550 to 768 of the family's 1831-position model. The record is from RNAcentral. Lineage: Eukaryota; Fungi; Glomeromycota; Glomeromycetes; Glomerales; Glomeraceae.
GGAGGGCAAGUCUGGUGCCAGCAGCCGCGGUAAUUCCAGCUCCAAUAGCGUAUAUUAAAGUUGUUGCAGUUAAAAAGCUCGUAGUUGAAUUUCGGGGUCAGCAAGUUGGUCGUGCCACUGGUAUGCACUGGCCUUGCUGAUUCCUCCUUCUUGUAGAACCGUAGAUGCGCAUUCAUUUGGUGUUGCGGGGAAACAGGACUGUUACUUUGAAAAAAUUA